Long non-coding RNA from Pezoporus occidentalis (night parrot), 1227 nucleotides. RefSeq lists it as uncharacterized. The transcript has 3 exons. The record is from RefSeq and is a predicted model, not a curated record. NCBI's taxonomy places the organism in Eukaryota, Metazoa, Chordata, Aves, Psittaciformes, Psittacidae.
GGCCCACCUCCCGGCAGGGCUGGUGCUGCCCUUCCGCGGCAAAACCACUGUCACCGGCCUUCUGGGUGCCUGCGUGAAGCUCUACAGGGAGCGCAGACAAAAUAGCCCAAGCGACCUCUUUACCUCCUCAGGGUCCGUGCCUGUCUCCCAGAAUUGCUGUCCAGCACUGAAGCAUCUGUACGAGCACUGGCUUUUAAAACCAGAGGUGCCAAAGGGAUUUGAGGAAUCCUGGGAUUUAAUAAUUAAAGCUGACACUAGGGUCCCUCCUGUCAGUUGCCUUUUGCCUGCAGCAGCACGUUUGAGGCAAAACAGUAGCAACAGCAGCAGUGGAUGCACCAAACAGACGGACAGAGCCCGCACGGACGGACGGAUGGACGCGUGCUCACGCCUCGCCAGGCUGUCAUGUCUCACCUCUUACGUAACAUUCAAGUGAGAUUUCUCACAGUGCUACCUUGGCAACAAACUAAAAAUAUCUAGGCAAGGUCUUGGUUUAAGCCUUCUUCUAAAAGCUUUAUCCGUGUGAUUAUCUGGCAGUCUGGUUUGUCUCCGGGAAGGGAAACGGCGGCAUUUGAGCUCAGGAUGAAGGGGAGAACCCACUUGGGAAACUUACCCCAACUGGUCUAAUCGUUUCUGAUUGCACAGUGAGGUGUGUUACCUACGGCCUCCGCUUUGUGUCCCUCGGAUUUAGGAUAAAGUGAGUGAGGAGUAGUUCAGGCUGACGAGUUGCUCUGUGUUUUCUUGAAGGGGAGAAAGAGGAGGGGGAUAUUUUUUGUAGCUCAGUGCAGAAACAUUCAUUUCAUACAGCAAGGUUCGGGGGGAAAUCUCUCGGGGACAUACUGAAUUAAAUAAAGAGAGGGUGAGUACAAAUGCACUUGCCACACUUGUAUACCUUAGCCGAAAAGAAAUAAUAAUUAUAAAAUAAACACAAGGUUACAUAAUGGGUCUGCCCCUCCUUCCCUUGCACACCCAAAACUCGCCGGAGCCAGCGGCAGCCCCGGGUGCUCAAGGCACUGCAGGUUCGGGCUCGGGGUGCUGCCGUCUCUCUGCGCUCCUGCUCUCAGUAAAGUGCUAGCGCGGGUGCGGGGGCCUGCCCUCCUUCCUUCUUUCCAUCGCCUCGCUUUGCCCCGCCUGCACCCCGAGCCCACCCGGGGCUCCCUGGCCGCAAGUGCAAGUUCUUAUGAACCCAUUGCAAAUAAGGUGCAACAUUUAAGUUACCUUAGAAAGAGA